Molecule: ribosomal RNA, 97 nt
Filed under: Herminium humidicola
Lineage: Eukaryota; Viridiplantae; Streptophyta; Magnoliopsida; Asparagales; Orchidaceae
Description: partial 18S ribosomal RNA
Rfam family: Eukaryotic small subunit ribosomal RNA
Source: RNAcentral
GCUUGCGAUGCUGUGAGAAGUUCAUUGAACCUUAUCAUUUAGAGGAAGGAGAAGUCGUAACAAGGUUUCCGUAGGUGAACCUGCGGAAGGAUCAUUG